CCCUGCCUGAAGCAGCUCGGUUCGCGGAUGAGUACACUGACGCCACAAGCAAGACACGUCUGUGGUCAAGUCAACUCCAUGACCGGAAUACCGACCCGUGGCACUCCCUCCACCUACCGCCUACCAAAAUCCAUCCAGGUAUGCCCAGCAAAACAACCAACAGCCACUAAAGUGUUACCGUUGUGACCAAGUCGGACAUAAGUUACCAGACUGCCCUUUGAAUUCUUCCCGGC
Pelobates cultripes (western spadefoot toad) is the source of this 233-nucleotide non-coding RNA. Lineage: Eukaryota; Metazoa; Chordata; Amphibia; Anura; Pelobatidae. The record is from the annotation of a GenBank genome assembly.